AGGGUUCAAGUCCNUCUAUCCCCU
RNAcentral lists this transfer RNA (24 nucleotides) under Canistropsis microps. Its description in RNAcentral is "partial tRNA-Leu". The record is from RNAcentral. Lineage: Eukaryota; Viridiplantae; Streptophyta; Magnoliopsida; Poales; Bromeliaceae.